RNAcentral lists this ribosomal RNA (468 nucleotides) under uncultured bacterium. Its description in RNAcentral is "partial 16S ribosomal RNA". It matches the Rfam family "Bacterial small subunit ribosomal RNA", at positions 28 to 507 of the family's 1533-position model. The record is from RNAcentral.
GACGAACGCUGGCGGCGUGCCUAACACAUGCAAGUCGAACGGAAAGGCCCGGCUUUUGCGGGGUGCUCGAGUGGCGAACGGGUGAGUAACACGUGAGUAACCCCCCCUUGACUUUGGGAUAACUCCAGGAAACUGGGGCGAAUACCCGGUAUAAGCUCCCGCUCCAUGUUGGGGGUUGGGAAGAUUGGGCGGUUGGGGAUGGACUCGCGGCUUAUCAGCUUGUUGGUGGGGUAUUGUCUGACCACGGCUCUGACGGGUAGCCGGCCUGAGCGGGGCACCGGCCACAUUGGGACUGAGGUACGGCGCAGUCUCCAACGGGACGCAACAGUGGGAAGUAUGACGCAGUAGCGGGAAGCGUGAUGCGGAGACGCCGCGUGCGGGAUGACGGCCUUCGAGUUAUGAACCGCUUUCGCCGGUGACGAAGCGGGAGUGACGGUAAUGGGUAAAGAAGCACCGGCUAACUACGUG